UCUCAAAAUCACAAUGUUAAAAAAAAAUACAACUUUUGUAAUAACACUGAAAUUCAGUCUGUUGAUCUUCUUAUAACAAGUAUAGCUAACUAAUGAGGACAUGAAAUCACUAACACAGUUGUUGUCUGCUUACGUAAGUAAAACAGCUGCACAAGCUGUGAAAAGUCCAGAGAAAGCACGUAAAAUGAUCCAUCACACAAAGUCCACCAUUCUUUCCCAAAUCCUUGUUACAGAAAACCAACCAACAAACAAACAAAUCAACAACUCAUUCUCUAGAAGUACAGGGUGGGACAUGGCAAAUAAAGAAAAUAAGCUGGCUUGUGCAGGCCACCUGCCUGAAAUAUGAGGUCAUGAUUGUCAAACACAUUUGGUCAACUCCAGUAACUUCAGUUCUUCACAAAGAGAAAACCAGUCAUUAAACCAUAGUGGAGACUUUUUGUUUUUAUUAUUUUUGUUUUUAUUAUGUUUUGUUUUGUUUUGUUUAGACUGUGCCGCAAUGGCACAAGAUCUGUUCAGGAGGAAUGUGACAUUAAAUGCAGCUUUGACUUUCUGGAGGAAGGGAGGUAUAAAUGAACCUAUUUGGUAAGGAGAGAUAAUUUUAGAGUUAUGGUGGAUUGCCUGCCUAUGCUCUCUAAUCACUGACAGGAAAAAAAAAACAGUACAUCUCACUCAGCUGCUGUGAAUACUUGGUGCCUUAGUAUAGUCAUCUCUUAAAAGCAAAUUUGAAGAAUAUGGAAUAGUUGGUGAU
This 748-nucleotide long non-coding RNA is filed under the name Homo sapiens (human). RNAcentral describes it as "non-protein coding lnc-PAN3-3:1". The record is from RNAcentral. Lineage: Eukaryota; Metazoa; Chordata; Mammalia; Primates; Hominidae.